Molecule: long non-coding RNA, 658 nt
Filed under: Rattus norvegicus (Norway rat)
Lineage: Eukaryota; Metazoa; Chordata; Mammalia; Rodentia; Muridae
Description: long non-coding RNA NONRATT032821
Source: RNAcentral
GAGGACUUAGAGAACGGCUCAGCCUUGAGGCUCCCAUGACUUCUCUUUCUCCACAUGCAGGGCCUCCCCGGACCUCAGGGUGCCAUUGGACCUCAUGGAGAGAAGGGCCCUCGUGGGAAACCAGGCCUCCCUGGCAUGCCGGGAUCAGAUGGACUCCCGGGCCACCCAGGGAAGGAAGGACCCCCUGGAACCAAAGGGAACCAGGGCCCCUCCGGACCUCAGGGUCCUUUAGGAUACCCAGGCCCUCGAGGCGUCAAGGGCGUGGAUGGGAUUCGGGGCCUGAAGGGCCACAAGGGUGAAAAGGGUGAGGACGGCUUUCCUGGAUUCAAAGGUGACAUAGGUGUGAAAGGAGACAGGGGCGAGGUCGGAGUCCCUGGUUCCAGGGGAGAAGAUGGCCCCGAAGGGCCGAAAGGGCGCACUGGACCUACCGGAGACCCCGGGCCCACGGGGCUCAUGGGCGAGAAGGUGAUGGCGUGAAGCAGAUGGGGAGGGUGCCUUGGUCACUGGGGCAGGUUGGACAUGGGGUGCCAACUAGAAGUUGGUGGCACCUUCAAGGAUAGCUGUGAGUUAACUGUGCCUCUCUGUGCACGGUAUCUGCUGGGUGCCAGCUACUUGAGGUGGGUGCAUGGGAAGGCAAGAAAAAUUAUUGGUAUGGUAG